Molecule: ribosomal RNA, 366 nt
Filed under: uncultured bacterium
Lineage: Bacteria
Description: bacterial SSU rRNA
Rfam family: Bacterial small subunit ribosomal RNA
Source: RNAcentral
GUUGUUAAAGAAGAACACGUAUGAGAGUAACUGUUCAUACGUUGACGGUAUUUAACCAGAAAGUCACGGCUAACUACGUGCCAGCAGCCGCGGUAAUACGUAGGUGGCAAGCGUUAUCCGGAUUUAUUGGGCGUAAAGAGAGUGCAGGCGGUUUUCUAAGUCUGAUGUGAAAGCCUUCGGCUUAACCGGAGAAGUGCAUCGGAAACUGGAUAACUUGAGUGCAGAAGAGGGUAGUGGAACUCCAUGUGUAGCGGUGGAAUGCGUAGAUAUAUGGAAGAACACCAGUGGCGAAGGCGGCUACCUGGUCUGCAACUGACGCUGAGACUCGAAAGCAUGGGUAGCGAACAGGAUUAGAUACCCUGGUAG